GACGUUCUUACCCUCUGAAUGGUC
This 24-nucleotide non-coding RNA is filed under the name Arabidopsis thaliana (thale cress). Lineage: Eukaryota; Viridiplantae; Streptophyta; Magnoliopsida; Brassicales; Brassicaceae. The record is from RNAcentral.